Molecule: transfer RNA, 85 nt
Filed under: Actinomycetaceae bacterium
Lineage: Bacteria; Bacillati; Actinomycetota; Actinomycetes; Actinomycetales; Actinomycetaceae
Also listed under: 2 other names
Description: tRNA-Leu
Rfam family: tRNA
About the family: Transfer RNA (tRNA) molecules are approximately 80 nucleotides in length. Their secondary structure includes four short double-helical elements and three loops (D, anti-codon, and T loops).
Source: RNAcentral
GCGCGAGUGGCGGAAUUGGCAGACGCGUCAGAUUUAGGUUCUGGUGCCUUCGGGUGUAUGGGUUCGAGUCCCAUCUCGCGCACUA